UUUCGAGACACUUGAUGGCCCUGUAUGCAGCUCAAUGCGCCUCGCCCAGCAGGCUGCUUGCUUGGAUGCUUGCAAGAAGCUCCACCAGAUGGGGGCAUUUACGGACAUGCUCUUGCCUGACAAGGGAAGUGGGGUGGAGUCGGAGAAAGUUGAACAGGAUGAAGAAGGAGAUCCAAUUCCUGGAACUUCCAGGCACAGGGAAUUUUAUCCUGAAGGUGUAGCUGAUAUUCUGAGGGGUGAUUGGAUUUUGUCGGGAAAGGAUCCUCUUGUCAGCUCAAAGUUCAUUCAUCUUUAUAUGUAUGCUAUCAAAUGUGUAAAUAUUGGCCCCUCGAAGGACCCAUUCUUAACUGAUGUGUCAGAGUUUGCAAUACUAUUUGGCAACGAGCUGGAUGCAGAG
RNAcentral lists this unclassified non-coding RNA (397 nucleotides) under Hevea brasiliensis (rubber tree). The record is from RNAcentral. Lineage: Eukaryota; Viridiplantae; Streptophyta; Magnoliopsida; Malpighiales; Euphorbiaceae.